Molecule: long non-coding RNA, 3182 nt
Organism: Strigops habroptila (Kakapo)
Lineage: Eukaryota; Metazoa; Chordata; Aves; Psittaciformes; Psittacidae
Exons: 2
Source: RefSeq, a predicted model, not a curated record
CGCCCCGGGGAGGAGCCCCUCCGCCGCUGCCCCCGGCCCGCCGCCCGCAGGGUCUCCCGCAGCCCCGGGCUGGCUUCAUCGGGGCAGGGCAACCCCCGACACCCCCCCGUCCCGAGGGCUUCCCCCGUCCGUCCCGCCGAGGCAGGCGCUUUACCUGGUGCUCCUCCAGCUCCUCCACCAGCACCUGGGGAGAGACGGACACACGGACACACACACAUACACACAAAGGACGUGAGUCCGGCGCCCGCAGCGCAGCGGCUCCCCCGCCUGCCGCCCCCUUGCCCCGGCCCGGCUCGGCCCGUCCAGUCCCCGCCCGGCCCGGCCAGAGCCCCCGGCUCCCCGCUCACCUGGGCGGAUUUCUUGCAGGGUCCGGACUGCAGGAACCGGGCGAUCAGGUUCAUUGAUCAGCUUGUCACCCACAGAGACACAAGGUGCCGCCUCGCCAAGCUGCAAACCUCCGUUCUAGGGAUAGUAACAGCUCUCCCACCUCCCCAGCGUUACACCAGAGCCUCUGAAGUUACAGCACGGGUGCUUCUUGGGAGAGAGACAGUCCAAAACUGCAGUUCUCAAAUUACCAGCUAGGAAAAGAGCAUGGUGGUACUCGCUGUCCUUAGAGGUAACGUGUUUCUAACCUGUCUGCAGAACUGAGGAUUGCAAGCUCAGCUUUUUAUGCAUGACAGGAACACAUAAAAUGUAUGUUUUAUAAAGAUGUUUCAUAGUAUACCUUGAAACUAUCUAUCAAUCUGUGUCAAGAGAAAACCCAGCACCAUAAAUGUUGUAUAGCACCAUGUCCUGGUGGGUUGUAGUGCUAAGAGUUACCCAAUACAUUUCUUUAUGAAUAUAGUGGCACCUUUUUCCUUGGCGCCUUUUGGUCGGUGCCUUACUGAAUCCUCUGUGAUUUGCUUUUAUUUGAGGUUGGGGUUGGCAACACGUGAAGUUGCACCACCACAAUAGGCAGGAUUGUUCUUUGGGGGCCUGUAGAGCUGAUGGGAAUUUCUAUGAUAGGUAAAAUAGGCUCUCAAAUGGAAAACCUGGGAUAGAAAAUGUCCUCAAAGGAAGCUUCUCUGUCCCUUGCUUAUGUCCUUCCCACACCAUUCCAUACAGGAGCCUCGCCCCAUGCUCUUUGCCUAAGUGCUUACAGAUACUCGACCUCGCCGCUCCAUGUUGCUCCAUGUUGCACCCUCAUUGCUGCUCAGGUGGAUUCAUGCAUCAACAAGAAAGGAGCGUGUUAGUAAUCACCCAACUAUUUGUUGCGUGUGUGUGGCAGAGUACAGGUGCACAGGCAUCCUGCAGCCCAGUGAGUACAAACAGAGCAUUAGUCAUGCCCAAAACAGCCAUUGUGUAACUCUUCCCUUGGCUGGGCUCCGUCAAUGCGUUGUGGCUGCAGUUUACUGCUCUGCAGUGACUCCCAAGCCUGUUCCCAUGUUGCUGGUUCCCUGGCACCUCAGCUUCCUAUCAUUAAUGUUUUCCCAGUUGCUUUAUUAUUCCCUGAGGCUGCUGUAAGGACUGUGAUUGAUAGCUCUUCCCACUUCUCCUGGGUUUCCCCCUUAAGGAGUCGUCUGCCUGCUGAGUAAUGCCCAUCCUCAAGUGUAGCUUUGGUUCCCCGGGAGCUCUGUCUCCACAGCACACUGCAGCCACACGCGCAUCUUGCAGCUCCGUGACUCAUCUCUUUCCAGAUCCUCUGCGUCCAAGCAGCAGCAUGCUGGGGGAUGAUAGUAAAUCUCCUAGUGAAAGCCAGAUUUUAUGGUUGUGCUUAUUCAUCUUUCUCUAAAGCAGAACUCUAUUAUGUAAAUGCCAACAGAAGCAGUGGCACUGAGAGGUGAAGAACAUACUAACUGGCGUGGUAAUUGUUGUUAAUGGACAAUGGAGUAUUCAGAAGCAGAGGUGCUUUGAGAAAGAAGCUGGAUCGUAACAGUUUCUUUCCAUACUGCUCUUUAAAGAAUAAAUAAGUAGAAAUUAAAGCUUUUAAAGGAUACUAGGAGUAGAAACCAGUAAUAUUCAAAAGCCCAUCACUUCCACCCAUUUGGUUUGGUAGAAACGUCUCAGCACUUGAAAACAAGCUGAUUUUCAGCUUUUUGCCUCUUUCUGGUCCACCCAGGCUCCACUAGUGCUUGCACUCAGGGUGCUUCUCAUACCUUGGCCACUGGCAGCCUGUACUCCGCUACGAAAUGGCCCAUCGUGCCCUGUCACUGCAGUUGAGAGUAAAUGCAAGUCAGCAGAGUUUAUCUCUCUUUAAUUUGACUACAAAUUUAAAUUAACUUCCCAAUAGUCAGCUUGCAACACCAGCUAAAUGUCUCUCUCUUUUUUCUUUAGUGUUGCACUGUCCCAGUGAGUCAGAUUCUGACCUGCUUUAGCAUAGUGUGAAAACAUGAUUGCAGGUUUUCACAAACCAGACAAAAAUGUGCUGCUGCAAAUCAAAAAAAGGAGGUUUAGAGUGGAAUCGUGCAGGUAUGCCUGGAUUCUACCUUUACUUUUCAGUAAAUGUAGAUGGGAAUACAUAUGUCUGAAUCCAUUUGGGUUUAAACACUAGAGCAAGUUAAGCAUUCUCAGCUUUUUUCUGUAUUUUCCAUGCACAUUUCUAUGUGCAUCCUGCUUAUUUUGGUCCUUUCAUAUGCAGCUAAAUGGCAAACAAGGAUAGUAAUUGUUGCAGAAAGGAAGUCGAAGGUUUUGCUUAACUGGUAGAAAAAGAAGUGCUAUUUAGCAGGAAUUAAAUAAUUGGUGCCUUGUACUAUGCAGUUACUAUGUAAGCAAAUAUGGAUAUAGGAAAGUCAAGGUUUAUUUUAGGAUUAUCUCUAAAUGCAGCAACUUAAAAAUUAAAUGUAGUGUCAUAGCUUAUUUAUUCUUUAGAAAAAGAGAGGUGCAAAAAAUUAGCAGUAAUUGCAGUCAUGGGCUUUGCUUGAGUGCAGAGAAUCUGUGGGAAUCUGCCAUCCUGUCUUGUGGGACAAAUCUCCAAAUUUCCACUCCUUCACACAGCUUUCUCCCUUGGUAUGAGCUGUUAAAUAAUAACUAAAUAGCUGCUGGGUAUUAUACAAGAUCUGCUCUAAGUUUAUUGCUAUUUUUAAAAAAAAUAAUAUUUAAUUUCCCUGCUGCAUCAUACCAAUCCUUCCUCUAGAUGGUGCCCGAAACCCAAGAGUCGGGUGUGAUACUAUCCCAUAUGGAAGGCUAUUGGGAAAUAGUCAGGA